Molecule: ribosomal RNA, 439 nt
Filed under: uncultured bacterium
Lineage: Bacteria
Description: partial 16S ribosomal RNA
Rfam family: Bacterial small subunit ribosomal RNA
Source: RNAcentral
CUACGGGUCGCUGCAGUGGGGAAUCUUGGACAAUGGGCGCAAGCCUGAUCCAGCCAUGCCGCGUGAGUGAAGAAGGCCUUAGGGUCGUAAAGCUCUUUCGCCAGAGAUGAUAAUGACAGUAUCUGGUAAAGAAACCCCGGCUAACUCCGUGCCAGCAGCCGCGGUAAUACGGAGGGGGUUAGCGUUGUUCGGAAUUACUGGGCGUAAAGCGCGCGUAGGCGGAUUAGUCAGUCAGAGGUGAAAUCCCAGGGCUCAACCCUGGAACUGCCUUUGAUACUGCUAGUCUUGAGUUCGUGAGAGGUGAGUGGAAUUUCGAGUGUAGAGGUGAAAUUCGUAGAUAUUCGGAGGAACACCAGUGGCGAAGGCGGCUCACUGGCUCGAUACUGACGCUGAGGUGCGAAAGUGUGGGGAGCAAACAGGAUUAGAUACCCUAGUAGUC